RNAcentral lists this ribosomal RNA (489 nucleotides) under uncultured bacterium. Its description in RNAcentral is "partial 16S ribosomal RNA". It matches the Rfam family "Bacterial small subunit ribosomal RNA", at positions 28 to 507 of the family's 1533-position model. The record is from RNAcentral.
GAUGAACGCUAGCUACAGGCUUAACACAUGCAAGUCGAGGGGCAGCAUGAACUUAGCUUGCUAAGUUUGAUGGCGACCGGCGCACGGGUGAGUAACACGUAUCCAACCUGCCGAUGACUCGGGGAUAGCCUUUCGAAAGAAAGAUUAAUACCCAAUGGCAUAGUUCUUCCGCAUGGUAGAACUAUUAAAGAAUUUCGGUCAUCGAUGGGGAUGCGUUCCAUUAGGUUGUUGGCGGGGUAACGGCCCACCAAGCCUUCGAUGGAUAGGGGUUCUGAGAGGAAGGUCCCCCACAUUGGAACUGAGACACGGUCCAAACUCCUACGGGAGGCAGCAGUGAGGAAUAUUGGUCAAUGGACGAGAGUCUGAACCAGCCAAGUAGCGUGAAGGAUGACUGCCCUAUGGGUUGUAAACUUCUUUUAUACGGGAAUAAAGUGAGGCACGUGUGCCUUUUUGUAUGUACCGUAUGAAUAAGGAUCGGCUAACUCCGUG